RNAcentral lists this ribosomal RNA (593 nucleotides) under Thalassiosira minuscula. RNAcentral describes it as "partial Bacterial small subunit ribosomal RNA". It matches the Rfam family "Bacterial small subunit ribosomal RNA", at positions 342 to 930 of the family's 1533-position model. Lineage: Eukaryota; Bacillariophyta; Thalassiosirophyceae; Thalassiosirales; Thalassiosiraceae. The record is from RNAcentral.
CGGGAGGCAGCAGUGGGGAAUAUUGGACAAUGGGCGAAAGCCUGAUCCAGCCAUGCCGCGUGUGUGAAGAAGGCCUUCGGGUUGUAAAGCACUUUCAGUCGUGAGGAAAGGGAUACGGUUAAUACCCGUGUUCUGUGACGUUAGCGACAGAAGAAGCACCGGCUAACUCCGUGCCAGCAGCCGCGGUAAUACGGAGGGUGCAAGCGUUGUCCGGAUUUAUUGGGUUUAAAGGGUGCGUAGGUGGGCCUUUAAGUCAGUGGUGAAAGCCUACAGCUUAACUGUAGAAAUGCCAUUGAUACUGGAGGUCUUGAGUAUAGAUAAGGUAGGCGGAAUUGAUGAUGUAGCGGUGAAAUGCAUAGAUAUCAUCAGGAACUCCGAUUGCGAAGGCAGCUUACUGGUCUAUAACUGACGCUGAGGCACGAAAGCGUGGGGAGCGAACAGGAUUAGAUACCCUGGUAGUCCACGCCGUAAACGAUGAUAACUCGGUGCUGGCGAUAUACGGUCAGUGCCCAAGCGAAAGUGAUAAGUUAUCCACCUGGGGAGUACGAUCGCAAGGUUGAAACUCAAAGGAAUUGACGGGGGCCCGCACAAGC